GCUCAGGAUGAACGCUGCGGCGUGCUUACACAUGCAAGUCGAACGAUGAAGCCCCAGCUUGCUGGGUGGAUUAGUGGCGAACGGGUGAGUAACACGUGAGUAACCUGCCCUUAACUCUGGGAUAAGCCUGGGAAACUGGGUCUAAUACCGGAUAGGAGCGUCCACCGCAUGGUGGGUGUUGGAAAGAUUUAUCGGUUUUGGAUGGACUCGCGGCCUAUCAGCUUGUUGGUGAGGUAAUGGCUCACCAAGGCGACGACGGGUAGCCGGCCUGAGAGGGUGACCGGCCACACUGGGACUGAGACACGGCCCAGACUCCUACGGGAGGCAGCAGUGGGGAAUAUUGCACAAUGGGCGCAAGCCUGAUGCAGCGACGCCGCGUGAGGGAUGACGGCCUUCGGGUUGUAAACCUCUUUCAGUAGGGAAGAAGCGAAAGUGACGGUACCUGCAGAAGAAGCACCGGCUAACUACGUGCCAGCAGCCGCGGUAAUACGUAGGGUGCGAGCGUUAUCCGGAAUUAUUGGGCGUAAAGAGCUCGUAGGCGGUUUGUCGCGUCUGUCGUGAAAGUCCGGGGCUUAACCCCGGAUCUGCGGUGGGUACGGGCAGACUAGAGUGCAGUAGGGGAGACUGGAAUUCCUGGUGUAGCGGUGGAAUGCGCAGAUAUCAGGAGGAACACCGAUGGCGAAGGCAGGUCUCUGGGCUGUAACUGACGCUGAGGAGCGAAAGCAUGGGGAGCGAACAGGAUUAGAUACCCUGGUAGUCCAUGCCGUAAACGUUGGGCACUAGGUGUGGGGACCAUUCCACGGUUUCCGCGCCGCAGCUAACGCAUUAAGUGC
Molecule: ribosomal RNA, 833 nt
Filed under: Micrococcus luteus
Lineage: Bacteria; Bacillati; Actinomycetota; Actinomycetes; Micrococcales; Micrococcaceae
Description: bacterial SSU rRNA
Rfam family: Bacterial small subunit ribosomal RNA
Source: RNAcentral